GUUCCAUAUUAACAGGGAGGGUAAAGAGUAUUUGAACAUAGUCCCAUCUAUCUAUUACUAGUGGAUAUAUAGAGGCUUUAUCAAUUUGAUACUAUCCAACUAAGUGCAACUUAUUGACAGUUACUAGCUUUUGAACUUUAUCUCUUAAAUAUAUUGACUAUUGUGUCUAUUGUAGAAGUCAAUUUGUUAGUAACAACUUAGUUAGUUACACUUCUAUAUACAAGAGAUUACCAUAUUUUAUUGUAUAAAUCAAUUUAUUAGUAACCACUUAC
Molecule: non-coding RNA, 272 nt
Organism: Pelobates cultripes (western spadefoot toad)
Lineage: Eukaryota; Metazoa; Chordata; Amphibia; Anura; Pelobatidae
Source: the annotation of a GenBank genome assembly